RNAcentral lists this ribosomal RNA (450 nucleotides) under uncultured bacterium. RNAcentral describes it as "bacterial SSU rRNA". It matches the Rfam family "Bacterial small subunit ribosomal RNA", at positions 354 to 796 of the family's 1533-position model. The record is from RNAcentral.
GUAGGGAAUCUUCCGCAAUGGGCGAAAGCCUGACGGAGCAAUGCCGCGUGAGUGAAGAAGGCCUUCGGGUCGUAAAACUCUGUUAUAAGAGAAGAACAAAUUGUAGAGUAACUGCUACAGUCUUGACGGUAUCUUAUCAGAAAGCCACGGCUAACUACGUGCCAGCAGCCGCGGUAAUACGUAGGUGGCAAGCGUUGUCCGGAUUUAUUGGGCGUAAAGGGAGCGCAGGUGGUUUCUUAAGUCUGAUGUGAAAGCCCACGGCUUAACCGUGGAGGGUCAUUGGAAACUGGGAAACUUGAGUACAGAAGAGGAAUGUGGAACUCCAUGUGUAGCGGUGGAAUGCGUAGAUAUAUGGAAGAACACCAGUGGCGAAGGCGACAUUCUGGUCUGUUACUGACACUGAGGCUCGAAAGCGUGGGGAGCAAACAGGAUUAGAAACCCUAGUAGUCC